This 457-nucleotide ribosomal RNA is filed under the name Hoylesella oralis. RNAcentral describes it as "bacterial SSU rRNA". It matches the Rfam family "Bacterial small subunit ribosomal RNA", at positions 28 to 470 of the family's 1533-position model. Lineage: Bacteria; Pseudomonadati; Bacteroidota; Bacteroidia; Bacteroidales; Prevotellaceae. The record is from RNAcentral.
GAUGAACGCUAGCUACAGGCUUAACACAUGCAAGUCGCGGGGCAUCAUGGAGGUUGCUUGCAAUUUCUGAUGGCGACCGGCGCACGGGUGAGUAACGCGUAUCCAACCUUCCCAUUACUACGGCAUACCCUGUUGAAAGGCGGCCUAAUUCCGUAUGCAGUCCGAAGCAGUCAUCUAAUUUGGACGAAAGGUAUAUUCUAUCGGUAAUGGAUGGGGAUGCGUCCGAUUAGCCAGCCGGCGGGGUAACGGCCCACCGGGGCAUUGAUCGGUAGGGGUUCUGAGAGGAAGGUCCCCCACACUGGAACUGAGACACGGUCCAGACUCCUACGGGAGGCAGCAGUGAGGAAUAUUGGUCAAUGGGCGUAAGCCUGAACCAGCCAAGUAGCGUGCAGGAUGACGGCCCUAUGGGUUGUAAACUGCUUUUAUGCGGGGAUAAAGUUGGGGACGUGUCCCUUUU